This 645-nucleotide ribosomal RNA is filed under the name uncultured marine bacterium. Its description in RNAcentral is "bacterial SSU rRNA". It matches the Rfam family "Bacterial small subunit ribosomal RNA", at positions 232 to 885 of the family's 1533-position model. The record is from RNAcentral.
CGCGGCCUAUCAGCUUGUUGGUGAGGUAGUGGCUCACCAAGGCGACGACGGGUAGCCGGCCUGAGAGGGUGACCGGCCACACUGGGACUGAGACACGGCCCAGACUCCUACGGGAGGCAGCAGUGGGGAAUAUUGCACAAUGGGCGCAAGCCUGAUGCAGAAACGCCGCGUGAGGGAUGACGGCCUUCGGGUUGUAAACCUCUUUUAGUAGGGAAGAAGCCUUCGAGUGACGGUACCUGCAGAAAAAGCACCGGCUAACUACGUGCCAGCAGCCGCGGUAAUACGUAGGGUGCAAGCGUUGUCCGGAAUUAUUGGGCGUAAAGAGCUCGUAGGCGGCUUGUCGCGUCUGCUGUGAAAUCCCGGAGCUCAACUCCGGGCCUGCAGUGGGUACGGGCAGGCUAGAGUGCGGUAGGGGAGAUUGGAAUUCCUGGUGUAGCGGUGGAAUGCGCAGAUAUCAGGAGGAACACCGAUGGCGAAGGCAGAUCUCUGGGCCGUAACUGACGCUGAGGAGCGAAAGCAUGGGGAGCGAACAGGAUUAGAUACCCUGGUAGUCCAUGCCGUAAACGUUGGGAACUAGAUGUAGGGCCUGUUCCACGGGUUCUGUGUCGUAGCUAACGCAUUAAGUUCCCCGCCUGGGGAGUACGG